Molecule: non-coding RNA, 2051 nt
Organism: Equus caballus (horse)
Lineage: Eukaryota; Metazoa; Chordata; Mammalia; Perissodactyla; Equidae
Source: RefSeq, a predicted model, not a curated record
UGUGCCCAGAAUCCGAACCCGCGAACCCCGGGGUGCUGAAGCAGAGUGUAGGAACUUAACUACUGUGCCACCAGACCGGCCCCUAAAGGUUUCAAGGUAAGGAAAUACCUAAGUAAAAUUGUAGGUGCAGGAUCAGGGGCUUGCUGUGUGGGUUACUGUUCACCAGCAAAUAUUGAGCGGCUAUAGCACAUCAGUAUUUAUGUGCUUCCCUCUCCACCUCCGCAUGAGCUCCAGGCGGGGACGGUGUCUGAUUCAUUCCUGUGUCCCCAGCACAGAGUCUGCACAGAGCGGGAACUCAGCGCCCGGCACUGGAGGAGUGGAUUAGAAGGCAGGCCGCUCUCCACAUUGACCUGCAGAGUGACCUCUCUGACCCCUAGGAUCCAACCUUACCACAGCAGGCAGAAAGCCUUUUACUGGCUCCCAGUGUCCCGGAUGAAGCCCACACGCCGUAAAUGAUGAUGAAGAUGAAGGUGGUAGCUACCACAUACCUCUCUCACAACCCCCACAACAGUCCUGCAAGGCAGGCGAGGAUCACUGUCCUCAUUUGUCAAAUGAAAAUCUGAUGGCUCAGAGAGGUUCAGUGACUCACCCGAGGUUACUCAGCCAGCGAGCUGCAGACACAGGCACCAAGCCCAGGGCUGUGGGCUGAUUGUUUGAUGGGCAUUCGAGGCCUGUCAGCCUCCCUCGCCAGAGAAGUUGCCAGGCUCAUCCAGGUGCCCAGGCAUCAGCCUCGUCUGACUCAGCAAGGAGCAAGUCGGAGGCGGCUGCUUGCCCGUCAGACUGCUGUUUUCUGCCUGAGAAGCAUCACUUGCUGUAGCCUCUUUCUCUUCUGCUCCCCAAGGAUCAUUCCGCAUCUGGGGGGAGUCAUUUUCCACAGAGUCAAGAGUUCUGAAAACUCGCUUUAUUGUUGUACACUGAAAACGGAUACCAUGUUAUAUGUGAGUUAUAUCUCAAUUAAAAGUCAGGUUAUAUUAGUGUACACAGCAACAGUAGAAGCUAACAUUUAUGCGGCAUUGAACGUCAAGACCGUGCUAAGUGCUUCACAUGCAUUGUCUCACUUUGUAAGGUCCAUUAAUUUAUUUAUUUGAAUAAGGACCCUCUACACGUGAUUAAAAGAAAGAGAGAGAUGGAUUACAAAAAGGCAUUUGGUGAAAAGUCAGUCUCUUUCCUCCUCUGCACUCCUGUCUCCCACGUCCCCUCCCAGAGACCAGUGUGACCAGCUCCUCGGGUGUCCUGCAGAGUCCCGAGUUACUACUAUCUCAUUUAAUCCUCUCAUCAGCCCUUUGAAGUAGGUAUUAUUAUCCUUGUAUUACAUAUCAGGACACUGAGGUUCAGAGACAGGAAGCCACAUACUCAAGGUCACACAGCUUCCACUUACUCAAGUGGCUGAGCUGGGGUUUCUCCCCAGAUGGACUGCCUCUCACCCUGUAGGCCUCCCUGCCUCCCACAAGGAGGUGAAAACCAGAAAGUUGAGCUGAGAAGCGUGUGCUGGGCAAUCGGCUGGACACCCUCGUUGACAGGCUUUUGCUCCACAUACCAAUCUUGCAGCAAAGAAUUCAAACUUGGACCUCAGUAAAAUGACAAAUUCUGACCCGUCAUAGGCCUUCGAGGUUAUUGACCCAUAGUCAAGACCUCAGAUUUUCCAACCCUGAAUAGUCUUCCGUUCCUGCUGUUUCCUGCCUUCUUGCUCCUUUGCGCCCUUGGUUUGCCCUUCAGUGACGUCGGCUCCGACCAGCUGCUCAGUGUGACUAAGGGUUCGCGGGGCAGGAUAGGAGGCGCACAGCCAUGCAGCUCUAAAACCUGGGUUCUGCCUCAGCUCCGCCCCGCUGGCCCGCCUGGCUGGGCGGGUCCUGUCACUUCUCUGCCUCCAUGUCUUCACUCGCAAGAUAGGAAGAAUUACAUCUAACUUAAAAGGUUUGAGGAUCCUCAAGUGAGGUGAUAGGCCAGUGGCAAGUAGCAAAGCCUCAUGCAAAUAUCGUUAUGUUUAGUAACAAUAAAAGUUGGAGUAAAUCUGGUCGCUCUACGGUGAAAAAGAGCUGGCUAAAUUCGCA